Odontomachus brunneus is the source of this 1948-nucleotide long non-coding RNA. RefSeq lists it as uncharacterized. Lineage: Eukaryota; Metazoa; Arthropoda; Insecta; Hymenoptera; Formicidae. The record is from RefSeq and is a predicted model, not a curated record. The transcript is spliced from 6 exons.
AGUUUAACACCACCACCUCCGAUUUUGACGAAACUAGGCUCAAUCAACACGUUUUUUUUUUAAAAGAAACAACUUUUUCCUCUAACAAAAUCGUCGCUCUCUACUACGAAGCGAGAUAUUAAUAGACAAAUCUGAGCGCGUGUUAGGUUAGAAAAUCUGUCAUACCAUCUAUCUCUAACUAUGAGACUGGAGGGCUUUGCCCCGCAUCGCGGCGGGAUGGGAGUCGCAGUCUCACGUGGUUAAGCUAAAGAGUGAAUUUCUCACAAAAGACUGUAGCUCCCACCCCGCCGCGGUGCGGGAGGUCUGGGGGGCGAAGCCCCCCAGUCACAUAGCUAGAAAAAUUAAAGAAGCUUUAAACCCAUGCAAAAGAAAUAAUACACUCAAUAGAAACACAAUUUUUUUUUGGUUAGUUUUUAUAGGGGGUGUGGGGGCAGCCCCCCGCUAGUCGUUCGAGAUUGCAGUACUUACUAACGAAAGACUGUCGUAUCAUUUUCGGAGUGACAGACUUCUUAACCUAGUGAGCUCUUAACUUUAACGCUAAAUAUCUCGCUUCGCGGAAGAGAGCGACGAUUUUGUUAGAGGAAAAAGUUGUUUCUUUUUAAAAAAAACGCGUCGAUUGAGCCUAGUUUCGUCAAAAUCGGAGGUGGUGGUGCUAAACUUCAUAAUUACCGGCCGAUGUCUACACAUACGUUUUAUUAUAUUACACUAAUAUAUAAAAGUGUUUGUAUAUAUCAAUAAUGCCGGUGCCCUGUUGUAUUAAUAGUUGUAAAAAUAUCUGGAAAAAGAAUAGUGAAAUAAAAUUUCAUAGUUAAUCAAAACAAUGGCAUUAUUGAUGAAAAACAAAAGAAAUUAAUAUUACCUCAUGAAGGAGAAGAUCAAUCAUCAUCACUUGAUACAGAACAAAAUCUUCUGAUAUUAUUUAAAGAAAAACAAGAUUUGCUGACAUCUAAUAAAGGACAUCAUUAUUUGACAUCUUCUAAUGAAGAAGACAAUCAAUUUACAUUACCAAAUAAAGAACAAGUGGUAAAUGAAUAUAAUAAUAAUGGGAUAACUGUGGCGAUAUCAAAAUGUUCAAAAUGUGCAAAUUAUAAUCAAACAUUAAUGGAAAUUGAAAAACUGAAAAAGAUAAUAGAGGAUUUCAAAAACAUAGAAGAAAAGCGACUUAAUCAGCAAGCAAACAUGUUGCAUACCAUUAUAAAUAAUAAAGAAGUUAUAUGGAAGAAAAAAUUGAAUAUAGUUACAUAUAAAAAUAAAAUCUUAAACAAAAGUAUACAGCGAAAAAAAAGAGAAUUAUAAAUUUGAAAACAGUACUUAAAAUAUUACAGAAGAAAAAUAUAUUGGACAAUGAUGCUACCUUUAAAUUAGAAAAGGAAUUUAGGAAUUUAUUAGUCCCUCUAUUAUAGGAUGAAAGAAACAAAUAAAAAUAAGUUUUCUCAUGGUCGACGUUAUUCCGAGGAGGUAAAACAGUUCGGUGUUACUAUGCAUUACUAUUCCCCUAAAACAUUAUAAACUCAUAAAAAAGUGAACUGGACAAUAUUUAAAUUACCUCACUCAUCAUAUAUAAGAAAUUGGACUUCUGCAGUGGAUGCUCAACCUGGUUUUCAGUCACAAAUCUUAAGCGCUUUAAAAGAACUCAAAGAUGAAGACAAAGAUUGCUGUUUAAUAUUUGAUGCCAUGGCUAUACGUCAACAAUUAUUGUGGAGUAAGCAAGAAUAUUUUUAAGAUUUGUAUGGAAGCUGAAAAACAGUUAGAUUUUGUAACAGAUGGUUACACAGACUUAUGUAUAACAUUUCUAAAUUUAAAAGUUAUAACUACAAUUAAAAAUAAAUUUGCUCUCGAUCCGUCAGUGUUCCCAAAUUUACAAUGUCAUAAUGUCAGUGUUGGAUAUAUCACAUAAAAUUCGGCUUAUUACUGUAAUUACUUCUAAAUAUAUUAAAAUAAGACUUCA